CUACUGAGAAGGUAUUCACUCACUUCAUGAUCACCAAGGUGGUUCACUCAGGGUGAGGCUCAGCCAUUGCACUCUGGAUUGUGCUGACCCUUGAGAUUUCCCCAAAUGUGGGAAUUCACGAGUGCAUAAUUCCUGUAAUC
Molecule: small nuclear RNA, 140 nt
Filed under: Nothobranchius furzeri (turquoise killifish)
Lineage: Eukaryota; Metazoa; Chordata; Actinopteri; Cyprinodontiformes; Nothobranchiidae
Description: U1 spliceosomal RNA (ENSNFUG00015005233.1)
Rfam family: U1 spliceosomal RNA
About the family: U1 is a small nuclear RNA (snRNA) component of the spliceosome (involved in pre-mRNA splicing).
Source: RNAcentral